Molecule: small RNA, 29 nt
Filed under: Arabidopsis thaliana (thale cress)
Lineage: Eukaryota; Viridiplantae; Streptophyta; Magnoliopsida; Brassicales; Brassicaceae
Description: ATSL305270
Source: RNAcentral
CCUUCCCGUAGCCGUUUUUCAAACUCCUC